CCUACGGGUGGCAGCAGUGGGGAAUAUUGGACAAUGGGGGCAACCCUGAUCCAGCCAUGCCGCGUGUGUGAAGAAGGCCCUCGGGUUGUAAAGCACUUUCAGUGAGGAAGAACGCCUGGUGGUUAAUACCCAUCAGGAAAGACAUCACUCACAGAAGAAGCACCGGCUAACUCCGUGCCAGCAGCCGCGGUAAUACGGAGGGUGCGAGCGUUAAUCGGAAUUACUGGGCGUAAAGCGCGCGUAGGUGGCUUGAUAAGCCGGUUGUGAAAGCCCCGGGCUCAACCUGGGAACGGCAUCCGGAACUGUCAAGCUAGAGUGAAGGAGAGGAAGGUAGAAUUCCCGGUGUAGCGGUGAAAUGCGUAGAGAUCGGGAGGAAUACCAGUGGCGAAGGCGGCCUUCUGGACUGACACUGACACUGAGGUGCGAAAGCGUGGGUAGCAAACAGGAUUAGAUACCCCGGUAGUC
This 465-nucleotide ribosomal RNA is filed under the name Vreelandella stevensii. RNAcentral's name for it is "partial 16S ribosomal RNA". It matches the Rfam family "Bacterial small subunit ribosomal RNA", at positions 338 to 795 of the family's 1533-position model. Lineage: Bacteria; Pseudomonadati; Pseudomonadota; Gammaproteobacteria; Oceanospirillales; Halomonadaceae. The record is from RNAcentral.